Molecule: ribosomal RNA, 788 nt
Filed under: uncultured bacterium
Lineage: Bacteria
Description: bacterial SSU rRNA
Rfam family: Bacterial small subunit ribosomal RNA
Source: RNAcentral
AGAGUUUGAUCAUGGCUCAGAUUAAACGCUGGCGGCAUGCCUUACACAUGCAAGUCGAACGGCAGCACGGGAGCAAUCCUGGUGGCGAGUGGCGAACGGGUGAGUAAUACAUCGGAACGUGUCCUGUAGUGGGGGAUAGCCCGGCGAAAGCCGGAUUAAUACCGCAUACGCUCUACGGAGGAAAGGGGGGGAUCGCAAGACCUCUCGCUACAGGGGCGGCCGAUGGCAGAUUAGCUAGUUGGUGGGGUAAAGGCCUACCAAGGCGACGAUCUGUAGCUGGUCUGAGAGGACGACCAGCCACACUGGGACUGAGACACGGCCCAGACUCCUACGGGAGGCAGCAGUGGGGAAUUUUGGACAAUGGGCGCAAGCCUGAUCCAGCAAUGCCGCGUGUGUGAAGAAGGCCUUCGGGUUGUAAAGCACUUUUGUCCGGAAAGAAAUCCUUUGGGCUAAUACCCUGAGGGGAUGACGGUACCGGAAGAAUAAGCACCGGCUAACUACGUGCCAGCAGCCGCGGUAAUACGUAGGGUGCAAGCGUUAAUCGGAAUUACUGGGCGUAAAGCGUGCGCAGGCGGUCCGCUAAGACAGAUGUGAAAUCCCCGGGCUUAACCUGGGAACUGCAUUUGUGACUGGCGGGCUAGAGUAUGGCAGAGGGGGGUAGAAUUCCACGUAGCAGUGAAAUGCGUAGAGAUGUGGAGGAAUACCGAUGGCGAAGGCACCCCUGGGCCAAUCUGACGCUCAUGCACGAAAGCGUGGGGAGCAAACAGGAUUAGAUACCCCCGUAGUCC